RNAcentral lists this transfer RNA (85 nucleotides) under Gammaproteobacteria bacterium. RNAcentral describes it as "tRNA-Leu". Lineage: Bacteria; Pseudomonadati; Pseudomonadota; Gammaproteobacteria. The record is from RNAcentral. RNAcentral also lists the same sequence under 3 other names.
GCCCCAUUGGCGGAAUUGGUAGACGCGCGCGACUCAAAAUCGCGUUCCUUCGGGAGUAUCUGUUCGACUCAGAUAUGGGGCACCA